Molecule: ribosomal RNA, 389 nt
Filed under: uncultured bacterium
Lineage: Bacteria
Description: bacterial SSU rRNA
Rfam family: Bacterial small subunit ribosomal RNA
Source: RNAcentral
GAUCAACGCUGGCGGCGUGCCUAACGCAUGUAAGUCGUGCGGACUUCCUUCGGGAAGUCAGCGGCGAACGGCUGAGGAACACGUACGAACCUGCCCGCGCGUGGGGAAUAACGCGCCGAAAGGCGUGCUAAUACCGCGUACGCUCCGCCUGUAACGGGCGGAGGAAAGCCUUCGGGCGCGCGCGGAGGGGCGUGCGGCCCAUCAGGUAGUUGGUGCGGUAAUGGCGCACCAAGCCGUUGACGGGUAGCUGGUCUGUGAGGACGAUCAGCCAGACUGGGACUGCGAGACGGCCCAGACACCUACGGGUGGCAGCAGCGAGGAAUCUUCGACAAUGGGCGCAAGCCCGAUCGAGCAACGCCGCGUGGAGGACGGCGGCCUUCGGGUUGUAA